Molecule: unclassified non-coding RNA, 342 nt
Filed under: soil metagenome
Description: partial contains 5.8S ribosomal RNA, internal transcribed spacer 2, and large subunit ribosomal RNA
Rfam family: 5.8S ribosomal RNA (bases 1-120)
Source: RNAcentral
GAUGAAGAACGUAGCGAAAUGCGAUAAGUAGUGUGAAUUGCAGAAUUCAGUGAAUCAUCGAAUCUUUGAACGCACAUUGCGCCCUUUGGUAUUCCAAAGGGCAUGCCUGUUCGAGCGUCAUUUGUACCCUCAAGCUUUGCUUGGUGUUGAGCGUCUUGUCUCUAGCUUUGCUGGAGACUCGCCUUAAAGUAAUUGGCAGCCGGCCUACUGGUUUCGGAGCGCAGCACAAGUCGCACUCUCUAUCAGCAAAGGUCUAGCAUCCAUUAAGCCUUUUUUUUCGACUUUUGACCUCGGAUCAGGUAGGGAUACCCGCUGAACUUAAGCAUAUCAAUAAGCGGAGGA